GACGAACGCUGGCGGCGUGCUUAACACAUGCAAGUCGAACGGAAAGGCCCUGCUUUUGUGGGGUGCUCGAGUGGCGAACGGGUGAGUAACACGUGAGUAACCUGCCCUUGACUUUGGGAUAACUUCAGGAAACUGGGGCUAAUACCGGAUAGGAGCUCCUGCUGCAUGGUGGGGGUUGGAAAGUUUCGGCGGUUGGGGAUGGACUCGCGGCUUAUCAGCUUGUUGGUGGGGUAGUGGCUUACCAAGGCUUUGACGGGUAGCCGGCCUGAGAGGGUGACCGGCCACAUUGGGACUGAGAUACGGCCCAGACUCCUACGGGAGGCAGCAGUGGGGAAUAUUGCACAAUGGUCGGAAGCCUGAUGCAGCAACGCCGCGUGCGGGAUGACGGCCUUCUGGUUGUAAACCGCUUCCGCCUGUGACGAAGCGUGAGUGACGGUAAUGGGUAAAGAAGCACCGGCUAACUACGUG
This 468-nucleotide ribosomal RNA is filed under the name uncultured bacterium. RNAcentral's name for it is "partial 16S ribosomal RNA". It matches the Rfam family "Bacterial small subunit ribosomal RNA", at positions 28 to 507 of the family's 1533-position model. The record is from RNAcentral.